AUACGUAGGGUGCGAGCGUUGUCCGGAAUUACUGGGCGUAAAGAGCUCGUAGGUGGUUUGUCGCGUCGUCUGUGGAAUUCCGGGGCUUAACUCCGGGCGUGCAGGCGAUACGGGCAUAACUUGAGUACUGUAGGGGAGACUGGAAUUCCUGGUGUAGCGGUGAAAUGCGCAGAUAUCAGGAGGAACACCGGUGGCGAAGGCGGGUCUCUGGGCAGUAACUGACGCUGAGGAGCGAAAGCAUGGGUAGCGAACAGGAUUAGAUACCCUGGUAGUCCAUGCCGUAAACGGUGGGCGCUAGGUGUAGGGGUCUUCCACGACUUCUGUGCCGUAGCUAACGCAUUAAGCGCCCCGCCUGGGGAGUACGGCCGCAAGGCUAAAACUCAAAGGAAUUGACGGGG
This 398-nucleotide ribosomal RNA is filed under the name uncultured bacterium. Its description in RNAcentral is "partial 16S ribosomal RNA". It matches the Rfam family "Bacterial small subunit ribosomal RNA", at positions 523 to 918 of the family's 1533-position model. The record is from RNAcentral.